AAAACAGAGAAAGCUCCGCUCCAUUCUCGUUGAAAAAAGAAGAGAAAGCUCCGCUUCAUGGCUGUUGGCUCUAUAUCCAUUGAAAAAAGCAGAGCCGUUGAGAAAAGCUUCAUGGCCGAUGGCCGUUGAUAAAAGCUUCAUGGCCGUUGGCUCCAUAGCCAUUGAAAAAAACUCCAUGGCUUUCACUGCUUAUAUAUAUAUGGCUGGGUGAUCUGAGAAACCGGCAGACUGUUUGUUUAGUUUCCUGCAAGUUCCCUCGCCCGCGUGGAGAAGCCCUUCCCGUGGUGAUGGCGAUGGCGACUUCAACAGUGAGGGCUUGUCCGAGAGAGUGAUGGCGCCCAUGCUUCGACAUUUGUUUAAUUUGUCGCCCAUGCUUCAAGAUUUCCUCACCAGAAUGCGCAAUAUGACCUGUGCCCUGCAUCCGCUCCGACGCCACAGAGCUCAUCCGCAUCGCCAAUCAUCUGCGGAGGAAUGUUAGAUAGAAGAAUGCUUAGCCAAUAUAAGAGAGGGCAGAAACCAGGUUACUGAAACUUAAAGCUCUGAAAAUGGGAGCAUGUUGAAUGCAUUGCUAGAGAUGGCGUAGCUUCUGGAAGACUGCAAUGGUUCAGGCCAGAUAUGUAGAUAGUAUAAAGCAGGCAUUUAGCAAAUACCUGCUUAUGCUAUGUAUGCUACAUCUAAUUCCUCAUUUCUUUUUGUGAUUACAUGGAUGAUACAAAGAUAAUAAAGUUCCUCAUUGCAAAUUGAAUAUACAACGUCCAACAAAUAGGUGAAUGAAUCUUGCUAAAAGUGGAGUGAAUUUUAAAAUAUAUUAAAACUUAUCAUAAAACAAAAUAAAAUUUAUUGUGAACUUUUUUGUAUAUAUUUUUAAUAGUAAUGUUAAUGUUAAUUUACAAUUUUGUGUUGCAUUUAAAUUGAUAUUAACAGUUUGAUUGUUGAAGUCAGAUUCACUUCAGUGACUUAAUGAAUGUUUAGAAAGUUCUGUUUACAUCACAUUCUAUUGUGUUAGUUUUUUUGGUCCAUCAUUCUAUGCUUUUUGUUUCUUUUUUUGUUGCUUUGAUUCUAUUUUUUUUUGGCAUGGCCAUGCCUCCUCUGUUUUUAUUGUCUGAGUUCUAUUUUGAUAUUUUUGGUAUGUAUUUUUCUUUUGUAUUUUUAUGCGUAGAUUGUUUUUAAAAAAGGUUUUAUUGGUAUUUUGUAUGUCUUUUUUUGUGAGUGAUGAUAUUUCAGGUAGUAGUGCGAUGAUGAUGAAGAAGAGAAAAGAAGCAAAACUACAUAUCACAAGCACCAGGGAAUACAACAGGAGAGCAGCCACAUAUUGAUAUUGUCCGGAUCUGGCAUUAUUUGAUUACUAUAUUCAUAAAAUAUUUGCCAUGUCUGUAGACUGACACCUAGAGUGUAGAGUGGUCUGUAGACUGACACACAGAGUGCAGAGUAUCUCAAUUGUUAUUGGAGCCAAGCAGAGCAAAUUUUAUUUUUUACUGUUUCAUUCUUGAAUCAGUUGCUUAGAUUGGUCAACUUAUUUGUAAACUGGUAUGUAUAUAGAUUUGUUGCUUAAUAAAAGAAAUUAUUUAGGAGGGGUUGAAUUGGCCCCCUCCUCAAGGCUGCAGGGAAUGGUCAUUUGUCAUGGUCAUUUUUCCAGCCUGCCGUUUCUGUGUUGAUUUUUAUAUUAUUUUUUGUUGCAGAAAAUAUAUUUUUUAAUUUUUAUUUCAUCAUAUUGAAUUAUUAAUUAUAUAACAUUUUUGAUGUACUGUAAUUAUUUUUCUAUGGAAUUGUGAAUCUAGAUUUUGGGUUCGAACUCCUUAAUAAACUUUGUGGAUCUUUGGCGAACCAGGUCUUAACUUUGAUCAUCGUUGGGAAUGCUCCCAGUUGGAUAGAGAACAUUUUAUAGGGCAAAGUGCUGUUUGAGAAGAUUAGGGCAAUUGUGAUGCUUAAAAUACCUUUGCUUUCUUUUGGGUAGGGUAAUCAGUGAUUUUACUCGAGUUCUUAUGUAUUAUUUGAGAAGAUUAGGUCGAUUGUGAUACCCCAAAUGCGUUUGCGUAGUCUUUUGGGCAGGGAAUGUAGUCAGUAAAAAAUAUGUAUUGUUUUGAGUGGAUUAGGGCAGUUGUGUUACUCAUGCAUUUGGUUGAGUCUCUGUUUGGGUAGCUAAGUAUGCAUCGUAUGAGUGGACCACGACAAUGGAUUACUUAACAGCCUUUGGAUCAGGGUUUGUUUGGGCAGGAGUAAGACAAAUAGGUGAAUUCCCCAAGUUUUUAACUACUCUACAAACUGUAAAUAUGUAUUGUAUGAGUGGCUUAGAGUAAUGGUUUACUCAACAGCCAUUGGAACCUUUGGAACAGUGCUAACCCGUUCUAUAGGCUCAAUAUAUAUUGUUUGGUAAACUUAAUUUACAAGAAGAGCAACCUUUAAGAGAUGAAACACCAUGUUCCAUAGUUAGUACUCUAUAGCUUUAAGCAUAGUUAUAUUUCAAUAAACUUGAAUUUGUCUUUUUAACUGCAUAAAUUUUUUAACUAUUAAUGUUGUGUUAUUAACUGCUUAAUUUUUUUAACUAUUAAUGU
This is a long non-coding RNA of Cryptomeria japonica (Japanese cedar), 2552 nucleotides long. RefSeq lists it as uncharacterized. The transcript has 3 exons. NCBI's taxonomy places the organism in Eukaryota, Viridiplantae, Streptophyta, Pinopsida, Cupressales, Cupressaceae. The record is from RefSeq and is a predicted model, not a curated record.